AAGUCGUAACAAGGUUUCCGUAGGUGAACCUGCGGAAGGAUCAUUAACACGUAUCCAAACGUUAAACCCCCCCCGUGAACCUUCAUCGUGCUCUAGUGGGCCACUGAUAAACACAGCAAUUCCUGGUAAAUCAUUGUCUGAACAAGCCUUUGAGUCAGGAACCUCUGUGCAGUGCGAGCUACACCCACUAUAGAAGCGCUAGUUCCAUCGGCAUUGUUUCCCCAAGCAGUCAGUGCGUGAAAGUGGCAACUGACUGUGCAAGGAUAACGCUUAACGAUUUUGCAGCCGCAACACGCGGGCAGAGCUGCCGAUUUCACAUACAAAGCUCCAUUUUCAAUUAUGGAUGGGGUAAAACCGAACAACUGUUAACAAUGGAUAUCUUGGUUCUC
RNAcentral lists this unclassified non-coding RNA (389 nucleotides) under fungal sp. RNAcentral's name for it is "partial internal transcribed spacer region". The stretch from base 1 to 46 matches the Rfam family "Eukaryotic small subunit ribosomal RNA", at positions 1786 to 1831 of the family's 1831-position model. Lineage: Eukaryota; Fungi. The record is from RNAcentral.